AGUAGGGAAGAAGCCUUUCGGGGUGACGGUACCUGCAGAAGAAGCGCCGGCUAACUACGUGCCAGCAGCCGCGGUAAUACGUAGGGCGCAAGCGUUAUCCGGAAUUAUUGGGCGUAAAGAGCUCGUAGGCGGUUUGUCGCGUCUGCCGUGAAAGUCCGGGGCUCAACUCCGGAUCUGCGGUGGGUACGGGCAGACUAGAGUGAUGUAGGGGAGACUGGAAUUCCUGGUGUAGCGGUGAAAUGCGCAGAUAUCAGGAGGAACACCGAUGGCGAAGGCAGGUCUCUGGGCAUUAACUGACGCUGAGGAGCGAAAGCAUGGGGAGCGAACAGGAUUAGAUACCCUGGUAGUCCAUGCCGUAAACGUUGGGCACUAGGUGUGGGGGACAUUCCACGUUUUCCGCGCCGUAGCUAACGCAUUAAGUGCCCCGCCUGGGGAGUACGGCCGCAAGGCUAAAACUCAAAGGAAUUGACGGGGGCCCGCACAAGCGGCGGAGCAUGCGGAUUAAUUCGAUGCAACGCGAAGAACCUUACCAAGGCUUGACAUGAACCGGACCGCUGCAGAGAUGUGGUUUCCCCUUUGGGGCUGGUUUACAGGUGGUGCAUGGUUGUCGUCAGCUCGUG
This 620-nucleotide ribosomal RNA is filed under the name uncultured bacterium. RNAcentral describes it as "bacterial SSU rRNA". It matches the Rfam family "Bacterial small subunit ribosomal RNA", at positions 438 to 1064 of the family's 1533-position model. The record is from RNAcentral.